This 476-nucleotide ribosomal RNA is filed under the name uncultured bacterium. RNAcentral's name for it is "partial 16S ribosomal RNA". It matches the Rfam family "Bacterial small subunit ribosomal RNA", at positions 28 to 506 of the family's 1533-position model. The record is from RNAcentral.
GAUUAACGCUGGCGGCGUGCAUAACACAUGCAAGUCGAACGAUGAAACUUAAAUGAUUUCUUCGGAAUGAACUUAAGUGGCUUAGUGGCGGACGGGUGAGUAACUCGUGAGUAGCCUGCCUUACACAAGGGGAUAGCCGUUUGAAACGACGUAUAAUACCCUAUGAUGUUUCUUUCUCGCAUGAGAUAUUAACCAAUGUGUUAGCGGUGUAAGAUGGACUUGCGUCUGAUUAGCUAGUUGGUGAGAAAAAAGCCCACCAAGGCAACGAUCAGUAGCCGGCUUGAGAGAGUGUACGGCCACAUUGGGACUGAGACACGGCGCAGACUCCGAAGGGAGGCAGCAGUGGGGAAAGUUGCACAAUGGGGGAAACCAUGAUGCAGCGACGGCGCGUGAUUUAGAAGGGCUUCGGGUUGUAAAAAUCGUUUGUAGAGGAAGAAAAGGACAGUACUAUACGAAUAAGGACCGGCUAAUUACGU